This 468-nucleotide ribosomal RNA is filed under the name uncultured bacterium. RNAcentral describes it as "partial 16S ribosomal RNA". It matches the Rfam family "Bacterial small subunit ribosomal RNA", at positions 28 to 507 of the family's 1533-position model. The record is from RNAcentral.
GAUGAACGCUGGCGGCGUGCUUAACACAUGCAAGUCGAACGGUGAAGGCGGAGCUUGCUCUGCUGGAUCAGUGGCGAACGGGUGAGUAACACGUGAGCAAUCUGCCCCUGACUCUGGGAUAAGCGCUGGAAACGGCGUCUAAUACUGGAUACGAGCUGCGAAGGCAUCUUCAGCAGCUGGAAAGAAUUUCGGUCAGGGAUGAGCUCGCGGCCUAUCAGCUUGUUGGUGAGGUAAUGGCUCACCAAGGCGUCGACGGGUAGCCGGCCUGAGAGGGUGACCGGCCACACGGGGACUGAGACACGGACCAGACUCCUACGGGAGGCAGCAGUGGGGAAUAUUGCACAAUGGGCGAAAGCCUGAUGCAGCAACGCCGCGUGAGGGACGACGGCCUUCGGGUUGUAAACCUCUUUUAGCAGGGAAGAAGCGAAAGUGACGGUACCUGCAGAAAAAGCGCCGGCUAACUACGUG